GACGAACGCUGGCGGCGUGCUUAACACAUGCAAGUCGAACGGAAAGGCCCUGCGUUUGUGGGGUGCUCGAGUGGCGAACGGGUGAGUAACACGUGAGUAACCUGCCCUUGACUUUGGGAUAACUUCAGGAAACUGGGGCUAAUACCGGAUAGGAGCUCCUGCUGCAUGGUGGGGGUUGGAAAGUUUCGGCGGUUGGGGAUGGACUCGCGGCUUAUCAGCUUGUUGGUGGGGUAGUGGCUUACCAGGGCUUUGACGGGUAGCCGGCCUGAGAGGGUGACCGGCCACAUUGGGACUGAGAUACGGCCCAGACUCCUACGGGAGGCAGCAGUGGGGAAUAUUGCACAAUGGGCGGAAGCCUGAUGCAGCAACGCCGGGUGCGGGAUGACGGCCUUCGGGUUGUAAACCGCUUUCGCCUGUGACGAAGCGUGAGUGACGGUAAUGGGUAAAGAAGCACCGGCUAACUACGUG
This 468-nucleotide ribosomal RNA is filed under the name uncultured bacterium. Its description in RNAcentral is "partial 16S ribosomal RNA". It matches the Rfam family "Bacterial small subunit ribosomal RNA", at positions 28 to 507 of the family's 1533-position model. The record is from RNAcentral.